This 305-nucleotide ribosomal RNA is filed under the name uncultured bacterium. RNAcentral describes it as "bacterial SSU rRNA". It matches the Rfam family "Bacterial small subunit ribosomal RNA", at positions 333 to 636 of the family's 1533-position model. The record is from RNAcentral.
UUGGCCCUACGGGGGGCAGCAGUGAGGAAUAUUGGUCAAUGGCCGCAGGGCUGAACCAGCCAAGUCGCGUGAGGGAUGACGGUCCUAUGGAUUGUAAACCUCUUUUGUCAGGGAGCAAAGGGCGCCACGUGUGGCGUUUUGCGAGUACCUGAAGAAAAAGCAUCGGCUAACUCCGUGCCAGCAGCCGCGGUAAUACGGAGGAUGCGAGCGUUAUCCGGAUUUAUUGGGUUUAAAGGGUGCGUAGGCGGAAUGCCAAGUCAGCGGUAAAAUCGCGGGGCUCAACCUCGCUCCGCCGUUGAAACUGG